This 30-nucleotide non-coding RNA is filed under the name Homo sapiens (human). The record is from RNAcentral. Lineage: Eukaryota; Metazoa; Chordata; Mammalia; Primates; Hominidae.
UCACAGCAAGAAAAGAUGAUGACAAACACU